RNAcentral lists this non-coding RNA (135 nucleotides) under Heterosigma akashiwo. The record is from RNAcentral. Lineage: Eukaryota; Raphidophyceae; Chattonellales; Chattonellaceae.
UCUAUGGUUGGGUCUAUGAUUCCUGGAGCUUCAAAUUACUUUUCCUCAGAGUGGAGCUUUGCUCAGGUUCGCGGGAUUGAUCCCAAUUCAGUAUGUGCUUUUGGAAGUCAGCCCAACACAUUAGCAAUUAUUAGU